AGGGAGAGCAGGGGAGGAGGCGCCAGCAAAAGAAAGUGCGAGGAGCUGCCAGGCAUCAGAGGAGGGCCAGCCAGGUCGGCAAGGGAGCCACAGCCCGGCCAGCUGGGUCACAUGCUGCUGAGGUGACAGGUCAUCUGAGAAGAGCAGAUUCCAGCACCGGGGCCCUUGGGUGAACUCAGAGAGCUGUUUGGGGGCCGUGUUGGGGGAGGGGGAGGAGUCAGUUUGCAGUUGGUUUGGGAAGGAACAGGAGGCAACACGGACAACUUGAACGUGAGAGACCGACAGCCACUGAAUUUCGUCACACCCCGGGUGGCAGCGGAACGUUGGUAGAGAACGAUCCCGAGAACAAGCGUGCGUGCCCAGGACGCGAGCAAGCUGUGCACGCUGGCACCGCCUGCUCUUCCUGCCCGUCUCCGCUCAUGCCCCUGUGCUCCUCGGGCACACAGUUGGCGGCGCGUGCGUUUUUGGCAGAACUAAAGGCGGAGGACAAUCAAGCCGAGGAAGAUCGUUUUGCCCGUGAACUGACUGUAGCCCCACCAGGACCACCGUGCGUGUGGAUGGCAGCCUCUGGAGUUGUGCAGUGUGCGGCCCUGCGCCUGGCCCGGGCUGCGUCUGAUUCGGUAUAA
Molecule: long non-coding RNA, 626 nt
Filed under: Dasypus novemcinctus (nine-banded armadillo)
Lineage: Eukaryota; Metazoa; Chordata; Mammalia; Cingulata; Dasypodidae
Description: lncRNA (ENSDNOG00000050691.1)
Source: RNAcentral